UUGAGUAUGUAUGUAUGGUAAUGGAGAAUGGUUCAAGUUUGGGGUUGUUGGGAAAUUGUAAAAAGAAUGAAAAAAAGAAAAGAAAAAAAGCAUUGAGCAAAGCAAAAGAAAAGAAAAGAAAAAAGAAGAAGGAAAAGAUGAAUAAAUGAGCUCAAUGAAUGAAAAGUUGGGAUUAAGUUGGGAAUGGUUUCUCAAGUGAAGGAGAAAGAGAGAUUGAUGAUUAAAAUGAUGAAAUUAUGAAUUGUUUACUCUCAUAACUCAAGGAUUUUGUUGUCUAGAAAAACCAAUUUUCUUCUUACCCUAGCCACGUUACAAGCCUUGAAAAGUCCUUGUGAUGAUAACUUGCUUGUGAAUGUGUUUGAUGUUGUUUAAAUGAAAGGC
RNAcentral lists this long non-coding RNA (381 nucleotides) under Vigna radiata. RNAcentral describes it as "long non-coding RNA (VRAD_LNC012490)". Lineage: Eukaryota; Viridiplantae; Streptophyta; Magnoliopsida; Fabales; Fabaceae. The record is from RNAcentral.